UGGGGAAUUUUGGACAAUGGGCGAAAGCCUGAUCCAGCAAUGCCGCGUGUGUGAAGAAGGCCUUCGGGUUGUAAAGCACUUUUGUCCGGAAAGAAAUCCUUGGCUCUAAUACAGUCGGGGAUGACGGUACCGGAAGAAUAAGCACCGGCUAACUACGUGCCAGCAGCCGCGGUAAUACGUAGGGUGCAAGCGUUAAUCGGAAUUACUGGGCGUAAAGCGUGCGCAGGCGGUUUGCUAAGACCGAUGUGAAAUCCCCGGGCUCAACCUGGGAACUGCAUUGGUGACUGGCAGGCUAGAGUAUGGCAGAGGGGGGAUAGAAUUCCACGUGUAGCAGUGAAAUGGCGUAGAGAUGUGGAGGAAUACCGAUGGCGAAGGCAGCCCCCUUGGGCCAAUACUGACGCUCAUGCACGAAGCGUGGGGAGCAAACAGGAUUAGAUACCCUGGUAGUCCACGCCCUAAAGCGAUGUCAACUAGUUGUUGGGGCAUUCA
This 489-nucleotide ribosomal RNA is filed under the name uncultured bacterium. RNAcentral describes it as "partial 16S ribosomal RNA". It matches the Rfam family "Bacterial small subunit ribosomal RNA", at positions 355 to 834 of the family's 1533-position model. The record is from RNAcentral.